AACGAACGCUGGCGGCAGGCCUAACACAUGCAAGUCGAGCGCAUAGCAAUAUGAGCGGCGGACGGGUUAGUAACGCGUGGGAACGUACCCUUUUCUGCGGAAUAGCUUUGGGAAACUGAAGGUAAUACCGCAUACGCCCGCCUUUUGGCGGGGAAAGAUUUAUCGGAGAAGGAUCGGCCCGCGUCUGAUUAGAUAGUUGGUGGGGUAAUGGCCUACCAAGUCUACGAUCAGUAGCUGGUUUGAGAGGAUGAUCAGCAACACUGGGGACUGAGACACGGCCACGACUCCUACCGGGAGGCUG
This 301-nucleotide ribosomal RNA is filed under the name uncultured Pseudomonadota bacterium. RNAcentral's name for it is "bacterial SSU rRNA". It matches the Rfam family "Bacterial small subunit ribosomal RNA", at positions 29 to 351 of the family's 1533-position model. The record is from RNAcentral. Lineage: Bacteria; Pseudomonadati; Pseudomonadota.